Molecule: ribosomal RNA, 506 nt
Filed under: uncultured bacterium
Lineage: Bacteria
Description: partial 16S ribosomal RNA
Rfam family: Bacterial small subunit ribosomal RNA
Source: RNAcentral
GAUGAACGCUAGCUACAGGCUUAACACAUACAAGUCGAGGGGUAACGAGAGGAAAGCUUGCUUUCCUUGUUGACGACCGGCGCACGGGUGAGUAACGCGUAUCCAACCUGCCCCCAACUAGGGAAUAACCUUGCGAAAGUAAGACUAAUACCCUAUAAUUUCCUCAGAUGUCAUCUGACGAGGAAUAAAGAUUUAUCGGUUGUGGAUGGGGAUGCGUCUGAUUAGCUUGUUGGCGGGGUAACGGCCCACCAAGGCAACGAUCAGUAGGGGUUCUGAGAGGAAGGUCCCCCACAUGGGAACUGAGACAAGGUCCAAACUCCUACGGGAGGCAGCAGUGAGGAAUAUUCGUCAAUGGGCGGAAGCCUGAACCAGCCAAGUAGCGUGCAGGAUGACGGCCCUAUGGGUUGUAAACUGCUUUUAUACAGGAAUAAAGUUAGCCACGUGUGGUUAUUUGUAGGUACUGUAUGAAUAAGGACCGGCUAAUUCCGUGCCAGCCGCCGCCGUAA